GACGAACGCUGGCGGCGUGCUUAACACAUGCAAGUCGAGCGGUAAGGCCCUUUCGGGGGUACACGAGCGGCGAACGGGUGAGUAACACGUGGGUGACCUGCCCUCAGCUCUGGGAUAAGCCCGGGAAACUGGGUCUAAUACUGGAUAUGACCUCAUGACGCAUGUUGUGGGGUGGAAAGCCUUGUGCGGCUGAGGAUGGGCCCGCGGCCUAUCAGCUUGUUGGUGGGGUGAUGGCCUACCAAGGCGACGACGGGUAGCCGGCCUGAGAGGGCGACCGGCCACACUGGGACUGAGACACGGCCCAGACUCCUACGGGAGGCAGCAGUGGGGAAUCUUGCGCAAUGGCGAAAGCCUGACGCAGCGACGCCGCGUGAGGGAUGACGGCCU
RNAcentral lists this ribosomal RNA (387 nucleotides) under uncultured bacterium. Its description in RNAcentral is "bacterial SSU rRNA". It matches the Rfam family "Bacterial small subunit ribosomal RNA", at positions 28 to 417 of the family's 1533-position model. The record is from RNAcentral.